Molecule: microRNA precursor, 62 nt
Filed under: Notamacropus eugenii (tammar wallaby)
Lineage: Eukaryota; Metazoa; Chordata; Mammalia; Diprotodontia; Macropodidae
Description: miRNA (ENSMEUG00000017818.1)
Source: RNAcentral
AUGUAUGUAUGUAUGUAUGUAUGCAUGCAUGCAUGUAUGUAUGUGUGUGUAUGUGUGUGUAU